UCCGGGGUGUAACUGACGCUAAUGCUCGAAAGUGCGGGUAUCAAACAGGAUUAGAUACCCUGGUAGUCCGCACAGUAAACGAUGGAUACCCGCAGUCGGCGACACAAUGUCGGCUGCCAAGCGAAAGCAUUAAGUAUCCCACCUGGGGAGUACGCCGGCAACGGUGAAACUCAAAGGAAUUGACGGGGGCCCGCACAAGCGGAGGAACAUGUGGUUUAAUUCGAUGAUACGCGAGGAACCUUACCCGGGCUUGAAUUGCAGGCGACGGGGCGAGAGAUUGCCCUUUCUUCGGACGCCUGUGAAGGUGCUGCAUGGUUGUCGUCAGCUCGUGCCGUGAGGUGUCGGCUCAAGUGCCAUAACGAGCGCAACCCCUGUCUCCAGUUGCCAUCAGGUGAUGCUGGGCACUCUGGAGAUACUGCCAUCGCAAGAUGUGAGGAAGGUGGGGAUGACGUCAAAUCAGCACGGCCCUUACGUCCGGGGCUACACACGUGUUACAAUGGGGGACACAGAGGGCCGCCACCGGGUGACCGGGCGCCAAUCCAUCAAAAUCCCUCUCAGUUCGGACUGGAGUCUGCAACCCGACUCCACGAAGCUGGAUUC
This 600-nucleotide ribosomal RNA is filed under the name uncultured bacterium. RNAcentral's name for it is "bacterial SSU rRNA". It matches the Rfam family "Bacterial small subunit ribosomal RNA", at positions 728 to 1333 of the family's 1533-position model. The record is from RNAcentral.